Molecule: ribosomal RNA, 415 nt
Filed under: Hemiplecta humphreysiana
Lineage: Eukaryota; Metazoa; Mollusca; Gastropoda; Stylommatophora; Ariophantidae
Description: partial large subunit ribosomal RNA
Source: RNAcentral
CCGCCCAGAGGUAAACGGGUGGAUCCGCAAAGUCGGUCCGCGGAAUUCAGCGCGGCGCGCGGUCCGGGGCUGCCGCUGUUCGGGAUCCUCUGGGAACCAGCAGCGGUGCCGAGCCGGACCCCGCCGCGUGCACUUUCCGCGGGCAGAGAGCCACAACCGGUUUGGUGGCGGUCACAAGCCCGGAGGGUUGUCGGUGGGGGCGCUCGCGUCCCUACCAGCCCCCCGCGGCGAGUCGCCGCCGGACCGAGGAACCGCCGCGCGCUUCGAGGCCACCCUCCCUUCCGGGUGAGUUCGACUGGGAGAGACUGGGCAACCGUGUCUCCCGACCGCUCACUCGCGACUGGCGCGGGGCUGGCCGGGCGAGCACUUGGGUUGGUGGCAAGUCUGUCGGCAUUCCACCCGACCCGUCUUGAAA